AAGCUCGUAGUUGAAUUUCGGGAUCAAUGUCUCGGUCAUGCCGUUGGUAUGUACUGAUAUUAUUGGUUUCUCACCUUCUAAAGAACCGUAAUGCCAUUAAUUUGGUGUCACGGGGAAUUAGGACUGUUACCUUGAAAAAAUUAGAGUGUUUAAAGCAGGCUCACGCUUGAAUACAUUAGCAUGGAAUAAUGAAAUAGGACAUCCGAUUCUAUUUUGUUGGUUUCUAGGAUCGAUGUAAUGAUUAAUAGGGAUAGUUGGG
Molecule: ribosomal RNA, 259 nt
Filed under: uncultured Glomus
Lineage: Eukaryota; Fungi; Glomeromycota; Glomeromycetes; Glomerales; Glomeraceae
Description: partial 18S ribosomal RNA
Rfam family: Eukaryotic small subunit ribosomal RNA
Source: RNAcentral